GACGAACGCUGGCGGCGUGCUUAACACAUGCAAGUCGAACGGAAAGGCCCUUCGGGGUCCUCGAGUGGCGAACGGGUGAGUAACACGUGGGUGAUCUGCCCUGCACUUUGGGAUAAGCCUGGGAAACUGGGUCUAAUACCGAAUAGGACCGCGCGCUUCAUGGUGUGUGGUGGAAAGCUUUUGCGGUGUGGGAUGGGCCCGCGGCCUAUCAGCUUGUUGGUGGGGUAAUGGCCUACCAAGGCGACGACGGGUAGCCGGCCUGAGAGGGUGACCGGCCACACUGGGACUGAGAUACGGCCCAGACUCCUACGGGAGGCAGCAGUGGGGAAUAUUGCACAAUGGGCGCAAGCCUGAUGCAGCGACGCCGCGUGAGGGAUGACGGCCUUCGGGUUGUAAACCUCUUUCACCAGGGACGAAGCGCAAGUGACGGUACCUGGAGAAGAAGCACCGGCCAACUACGUG
This 462-nucleotide ribosomal RNA is filed under the name uncultured bacterium. Its description in RNAcentral is "partial 16S ribosomal RNA". It matches the Rfam family "Bacterial small subunit ribosomal RNA", at positions 28 to 507 of the family's 1533-position model. The record is from RNAcentral.